GACAGAGGGUGCGAACGUUGUUCGGAAUUACUGGGCGUAAAGCGCAUGUAGGCGGCAGCGCAAGUCGGGCGUGAAAUCCCACGGCUCAACCGUGGAAGUGCACUCGAAACUGCGCAGCUAGAGUCCUGGAGAGGAAGGUGGAAUGCUUGGUGUAGAGGUGAAAUGCGUAGAUAUCUGGAGGAACACCGGUGGCGAAGGCGGCAUUCUGGACCGACAUUGACGCUGAGGCGCGAAAGCCAGGGGAGCAAACGGG
Molecule: ribosomal RNA, 253 nt
Filed under: uncultured bacterium
Lineage: Bacteria
Description: partial 16S ribosomal RNA
Rfam family: Bacterial small subunit ribosomal RNA
Source: RNAcentral